UAAAGUUGCUGCAGUUAAAAAAGCUCGUAGUUGAACGUUCGGGGUUCCGCGGGACGGGGCCGCCCCGCGAGGGACGGCGCCGCCCCGGGGCUCGUGAUAUCUCAUCUCGCCGCCCGUCGCGAGGCGGACGGAGGGAUGGAUGAGGUUACCUGGAAAAAAUCGGGGCGAUCUAGGCGGGCGAACCUCGCCAACGAACGAUCGGACAUGGGAUAACGGAAGAGGGCGUCGGCUCGACUUCGUCGGUUCCUCGGGCCGAGGCACGUACGGUGAAUAGGGGACGGUCGGGGCCGCCCGUACCGGGUCGUGAGAGGUGAAAUUCUAGGAUCGACCCGAGACGAACCGCCGCGAAAGCAUUCGGCAAGGACGCUUUCAUUAAUCAAGAACGAAAGUCGGGGGAUCGAAGACGAUCAGAUACCGUCGUAGUCCCGACCGUAAACGAUGCCGACCGAGGUCCCGGAGGAGUUACGUACGACCCUCCGGGCCCUCCCGCGAGAAAUCAGGAGUAUUCGGGUUCCGGGGGGAGUAGUGGUCGCAAGGCCGAAACUU
Molecule: ribosomal RNA, 546 nt
Filed under: uncultured eukaryote
Lineage: Eukaryota
Description: bacterial SSU rRNA
Rfam family: Eukaryotic small subunit ribosomal RNA
Source: RNAcentral